GAUGAACGCUGGCGGCGUGCCUAAUACAUGCAAGUCGAGCGAACAGACGAGGAGCUUGCUCCUCUGACGUUAGCGGCGGACGGGUGAGUAACACGUGGAUAACCUACCUAUAAGACUGGGAUAACUUCGGGAAACCGGAGCUAAUACCGGAUAAUAUAUUGAACCGCAUGGUUCAAUAGUGAAAGACGGUUUUGCUGUCACUUAUAGAGGUAACCGCGCCGCAUUAGCUAGUUGGUAAGGUAACGGCUUACCAAGGCAACGAUGCGUAGCUGACCUGAGAGGGUGAUCAGCCACACUGGAACUGAGACACGGUCCAGACUCCUACGGGAGGCAGCAGUAGGGAAUCUUCCGCAAUGGGCGAAAGCCUGACGGAGCAACGCCGCGUGAGUGAUGAAGGUCUUCGGAUCGUAAAACUCUGUUAUUAGGGAAGAACAAAUGUGUAAGUAACUAUGCACGUCUUGACGGUACCUAAUCAGAAAGCCACGGCUAACUACGUG
RNAcentral lists this ribosomal RNA (497 nucleotides) under uncultured bacterium. RNAcentral's name for it is "partial 16S ribosomal RNA". It matches the Rfam family "Bacterial small subunit ribosomal RNA", at positions 28 to 507 of the family's 1533-position model. The record is from RNAcentral.